GACGAACGCUGGCGGCGUGCCUAAUACAUGCAGGUAGAACGCUGAAGAGAGGAGCUUGCUCUUCUUGGAUGAGUUGCGAACGGGUGAGUAACGCGUAGGUAACCUGCCUUGUAGCGGGGGAUAACUAUUGGAAACGAUAGCUAAUACCGCAUAACAAUAGGUGACACAUGUCAUUUAUUUGAAAGGGGCAAUUGCUCCACUACAAGAUGGACCUGCGUUGUAUUAGCUAGUAGGUGAGGUAACGGCUCACCUAGGCGACGAUACAUAGCCGACCUGAGAGGGUGAUCGGCCACACUGGGACUGAGACACGGCCCAGACUCCUACGGGAGGCAGCAGUAGGGAAUCUUCGGCAAUGGGGGCAACCCUGACCGAGCAACGCCGCGUGAGUGAAGAAGGUUUUCGGAUCGUAAAGCUCUGUUGUAAGUCAAGAACGAGUGUGAGAGUGGAAAGUUCACACUGUGACGGUAGCUUACCAGAAAGAGACGGCUAACUACGUG
This 497-nucleotide ribosomal RNA is filed under the name uncultured bacterium. RNAcentral's name for it is "partial 16S ribosomal RNA". It matches the Rfam family "Bacterial small subunit ribosomal RNA", at positions 28 to 507 of the family's 1533-position model. The record is from RNAcentral.